UGUUUAAGUUAACCUAUUUGUAGGACAUUAAGAUCAAUUUUAGCUUAAAAAUAAAUGCAUAGAUGAUCAGAGCUACUAAUUUUAUAAAUCUAAUUUGAUUUUUAAAAAUUUUCAGACUCAGUUGUACAAAAUAUCAGUAUGAAAAUAUCUAUGUGGGUACUUCAGAGAAAGUUCAUGGAAAAAUAGGAUUAAGACUACAAAAAUUUAGAAGUUCAUGCAUAGCUAUUUCAUCAUGCAUAUUUUCCAAGAACUUUUAAAAGAUCCCUCAUACAUAUUUAUAGGUCUCUAAUGUAAAAUACAAAAACGUACACUUACAGAAAGGGAUUCUCCUCAGGGCUUCCUUCAUGUGCUUGCCACUGGGUUCCCGAAUAUAAUCCAGCUUUCUGAAACGACUAGAUGCCAGUUUAUAGCUCCUGAUAGGACUUAAUAAUACGCCAAGUGUCUUAUGAAUCCCAAACUUCACUAAAAGUAAACUUCACUAAAAGCCAUAUAACUGUAUGUUAUUUCUCUGUUAAAGCAAAAACCAUUUGGAUCUUUAAUAAGACAGUGGGGGACCUGAAUGCCCUAAUACAGGCAGUCACAUACUCAGGGCUGCCUGGGAUGUUCCCAGUCUACACCUGUUGUCACUUUGCAAUUAUUAAUAGUGUUCUCCUUUCCUCAAAAUAUCCUGGUUAGAAUGAUAAAUUAUAUGGCCCUCCUACUUAUUUGAAAUUAAGCUAUUUUAAUUUCUGGCUUAAAUGUAAGUUGUUUUUGUUAUAUUGUACUUUAUCUUACCUGUUUAAUUUUUGUUUCGUACUGAUUUUUCAUUUAGUCUGUUGGGACUUCCUCUUAAUUAUAAGAAUAUAUUUUUGUGAUCAAAUACAAAAUUAGCCAUUUUAAGUGUACAAUUUAGUGCUGUCACCUAACAUACUGUUUCGCAGCCAUCACCACUGUUUCCAAAACACUGUCAUCACCACCUAAAAUGUCUGUUAGGCAAUAACUCCGCCCUCGCUUUCCCUCAACCCCUAGUCCCUCUCAUCUACUUUCUUUCGGUACAAAUUUGCCUAUUUUAGCUAGUUCACAUAAGUAGAACUAUGAAAUAUUCAUCCUUUUGUGUUUGGUUCUCUUAGUCUAAUGGUUUCAAGGUCCACCCAUGUUGAAGACAUAUCAGAACUGCAGUCCUUUUUAAGCUGAAUAAUAUUUCAUUGUAUACCUAAACCACAUUUUAAUCCAUGUGUGUGUUGAUUGAAUGAUGGGCAGCUGCUUCUCUUUUAAAACUUUUUUAGUCUCACCCUGGCUCUGGCUUUUACCCAGCCUUUUCUCUUUUUCUAGCUCAUACCUCUGUGGUAUGUCCGUGUGCUUUUUUGUUUUGCCCGUAACUUUUUAUCUGUUAGUCCUGUGGCUGCCCUAGAUUCUUAUGUUUGGUCUUUGAAAUUGCUUACCUUUUAUGGUACCUUGCCUCAGUUGAACAAUUUCUUACUUGAUUCACUUAAAAAUCCUUACAUCUUUUAACUUCAUCUUGAUCUUUUUAAAUUUCUUGUGGGUUUUUUUUCUCCUUCCACAUCCUUAUUUUAGAACAAUAAAAUUGUUUAAGUUUUACCUACUGGACCAAAUUCUGGACGUGGAGAUGGUUUUAUUUUGUAUUGUGUUUAGAAUAGUGCGUCAUCUUGUGCUGUUAACUCUUAGCUUAUAAAUAGUAGGCAGGAAUUACUGCCAUCAGGGUAACAGCUGUGAGGUGAGCUCACACUCUAAAGGAGGUUGACUAUUUUUUUCCUUCCAUUUGUCCCUGAGACAGAUUUUCAAAUCUCUCUCUCAGAUUCCCAGUACCCAGAAACUUUUAUCUGACUCCGUGACUCUAAGAAGAGUACCUCUUUUGUAAUUCCUUUCUCUGAUAAAAUCAGCCAUUUCUGAUUGGCAGUCAGCCAUUUCUCGGAGACGUGAUUGGGUCUAGGAGCUGGAGUGUCCUCUGUGAUCACUGAGACCUGGGGAAGCUUUGUAAAGAUAGCCUGGAAAGACCCCCAGCCAAGAUGCACAUUUAAUUCUUGUAACCAGCAUCCACUGAGUUUCAGCUUUGGCUACUCACAGGUUCUGAUAAAAGUAGAAAAGGUAGUUAGUGUCUUUAGGCAAAUUAAAAUGUCUGCUUAACGAAAGGUUAACUGACUCACUAAGUUAACUAAGGAACAAAAACAGCAUCUGUAAUAGGAAUGCCAGACAACAAGAUUUUAUAUAAACACAAAUACACACAUAAAAAAAAUUGUGUGACUGUGAACUGGUCAGGAUUCUUAUUUUCCUGACUUAAAGUGACGAGUUUGAAUUUAGCAUUGUCUAAAAGUCUUCGAAGUGCUGACAUUUCAUGAUUGUCUACCUCUGCCUAGUUACCUUAGCAUCAGUAUCACCUGUAAGUCUGGAAUCUUCAGUACUGAUGGCUGUAAUCCAGGAAUUCUGAGGAGCUUUUUAGAAAUGUCAGUUCAUGAGUCUCGCCCCACUGGGUGAGAAUCUCUGAUGGAGACCUAGGGAUCUGUUUUAUUAAAGUUCUUCAGGGAGUUCUGAAAUGCCUAGCCACUAACAGUAGACCUGUAUUUAGAAACUGGAGAUACUUGGCAAUCUAGUGUUGUUGAUUUAAACCUAAUCAGACUAAUUCAGGGCUGAAGUUCUUAUUGGCAAGCAGCUUAACCUCACGCAUUAUGUUGGCUAGAUGGCAAGAUGAACUUGCUCUAUCAGACUCAGGUGCCAGCCAGAAUAGCAUUAAAUCAGAUACCGCAUUGCUUAUAAUCCUGCGCUGCCCGCAAAAAUAAUUCCUAAAAUCUUGGAUCAUAUUAAUUUGAACAAGAUAUGAAAAGUAAAAUCGAGAGAGGACUAAAUCCUUCAGUUAGGUGUGUCAUUUGCCUGUUUCUACAGAUGAGCAGUUCCUGUACCAAUCGCCCAAUAAGUCGGCAGCUGUCUUAUUCACUGGACUUUGAGCUGUGAUUUGUACCAAUCAGAUUCUUCGAAUCCUUUGAUUCUUUGAAUUUCUUCGAAUUCUUAUGGAUUCCGAACACCACUGGGAAAGGAGAAAAAUUUUAGCAAAGAACUCAAAAGUAGUCUCAACAAUUUUUUUAUAAUUCAUAAGUGGUGCUGCUUUAUAGGUACAACUUCAUUAUUGGCUGUUUCUUCACAUUCUAGUGUACUCUUUAAUCUACUCCUUCAUUACAAUCUCUAUUGGUGUCACCAAAGGUGUUACCUAUUCCUACCUAGUAGAUACUUCUCUUUCACCAACCCUCUUGGCAGGUCUGAUGGGCCUGACCAGUCCUUCCCUGAGACACUUUCCUUUGGGCGUCGUGUCUCCACACUUCCCUCUUACCUCAAAUCCAACUUUACCUCUAAAUGUAGAUGCUCCUGGCCCUUUAUUCUCUACUUUUUUCCUAAGUAAUCUUAUCUCAUCACGGGAUUUAAGUACCGUAGCAAUUAUUACUUCAUGCCAGACUCUUCCUCUGAGCUACACAAUAUUUGCCCUCUGCCCAACAGUCUCCAGUUGGACAUGGCACUGGCUUCUGGGACAAACUGUCCAGCUUGAAAUUCUGCUCCAGGUUGAAAGCCAACUCUUUCAUAUCUCCCCGCUGUGUAUUCAGUUGUUCAAGCUGGAACACUGGAAAAAACUGUUUAUUCUUCCCAUUCCUUUUCCCUGCCAUCACUUCCAUUGACAAGAAAGCCAAACUGGCUUUGUGAUUUUUGCCAUAUUUUAGUUUAACCAGCUUGUCUCAUCAAAUGAUAAUCUUCAGGAAGUCACUGGUUUGAUGUUCUCCUUAUUCUAAUAAGAUGUUCAUAUAUAUAAAUCAUGUAUGAUACCCUUUAGGAAGUACUACAUCAACCUCCAAGCUAUGUGUUGAAUCUGCUGUGUUUUUCCAUCUUCAUCGAUACCACUCUAGUUAUCUUUUACCUGGACUGCUGGGAAAAACUCCUAUUUGCCUACCCUCUUGUUCCCUUCCAGUCCAUUUAGCAUACAAUCAAAAGAAUGAUCUUAAAAUACAAAUGAAGUAAUAUUACUCCCCAGCUUAAAACCCUUCCAGAACUUACUAGAAAAUCCAGUUUUCUAAUCAUGGCCUCCACAGUCAUGCAAGAUCUCUCAUUGCAUGCCACUUUGCCCCCAUUUACUUUGGUUAAGCCACAGUGGUCAUCUCCCAGAUUAAAGAACAUAACUGUUUCCCAUUCAUGACCUUUAUAUCACUAUUUCCUAAUCCUGUUCACUACUAUGUGACUAUUUCUUUCUCCUGUUUUAGAGUUUUGAUUAAAUGUAACGACCUGAGAGGUUAUUUUGGUUACCAUGUUUAGAAAUACCCUGCAGCUGCUUGGGACACUGGCAUCCCAGCUAAAUGCUGAUUCCAGUCCUUGAUGCUUGGCUUCCUGUCCAGCUCCCUGCUAAUGCAUCUGAGAAAACAGCAGGUGAUGGCCUAAGUGCUUGGGUCCCUGCCACCUACUUAGGAGAUCUACAUGGAGUUCAUGGCUCCUGGCUUCAGCCUGGCCCAACCCUGGCUGUUGUGGGCAUUUGGGAAGUAAACCAGCAGAUGGAAGGUCACUCACUCACGCUGUCUCACUUUGCCUUUCAGAUAAGUAAACCUUUUUUUAAAAAAGAAACACUCUUUCUUAGGAAGUAACAAGGGAGAUCUAAAGUCCAAGGAUCCAAGUAGAAGAAGCAGCUGGCCGGCGCCGUGGCUCAAUAGGCUAAUCCUCCACCUUACGGCGCCGGCACACCGGGUUCUAGUCCCGGUUGGGGCGCCGGAUUCUGUCCCGGUUGCCCCUCUUCCAGGCCAGCUCUCUGCUAUGGCCAGGGAGUGCAGUGGAGGAUGGCCCAGGUGCUUGGGCCCUGCACCCCAUGGGAGACCAGGAAAAGCACCUGGAUCCUGGCUCCUGCCAUCGGAUCAGCGCGGUGCGCCGGCUGCAGCGGCGGCCAUUGGAGGGAGAACCAACGGCAAAGGAAGACCUUUCUCUCUCUGUCUCUCU
Molecule: non-coding RNA, 4956 nt
Organism: Oryctolagus cuniculus (rabbit)
Lineage: Eukaryota; Metazoa; Chordata; Mammalia; Lagomorpha; Leporidae
Source: RefSeq, a predicted model, not a curated record